ACCCAAAUGGCGGAAUUGGUAGACGCGCUAGUUUCAGGGACUAGUAUCCGAAAGGAUGUGCAGGUUCGAGUCCUGUUUUGGGUA
This 84-nucleotide transfer RNA is filed under the name Bacteroidota bacterium. RNAcentral's name for it is "Bacteroidetes bacterium (hot springs metagenome) tRNA-Leu". It matches the Rfam family "tRNA". Rfam says of the family: Transfer RNA (tRNA) molecules are approximately 80 nucleotides in length. Their secondary structure includes four short double-helical elements and three loops (D, anti-codon, and T loops). RNAcentral also lists the same sequence under 2 other names. Lineage: Bacteria; Pseudomonadati; Bacteroidota. The record is from RNAcentral.